This 35-nucleotide transfer RNA is filed under the name Marmorosphax tricolor. RNAcentral's name for it is "partial tRNA-Ser". The record is from RNAcentral. Lineage: Eukaryota; Metazoa; Chordata; Lepidosauria; Squamata; Scincidae.
GAAGGGGGACUAAUAACACAAAGAACUGCUAAUUC